RNAcentral lists this unclassified non-coding RNA (501 nucleotides) under uncultured Diversispora. Its description in RNAcentral is "SSU rRNA". It matches the Rfam family "Eukaryotic small subunit ribosomal RNA", at positions 591 to 1092 of the family's 1831-position model. The record is from RNAcentral. Lineage: Eukaryota; Fungi; Glomeromycota; Glomeromycetes; Diversisporales; Diversisporaceae.
CCAAUAGCGUAUAUUAAAGUUGUUGCAGUUAAAAAGCUCGUAGUUGAACUUCGGGGUCUACCCAUUGGUCAGGCUUAAUUGUCUGCACUGGUGAGAUGGAUCUCUACCUUCUGAGGAACUUUCAUGCCAUUUAUUUGGUGUGGUUGGAAAUCAGGACUGUUACUUUGAAAAAAUUAGAGUGUUUAAAGCAGACUAUCGUCUGAAUACAUUAGCAUGGAAUAAUGAAAUAGGACGGACUGAUUCUAUUUCGUUGGUUUCUAGGAUCACCGUAAUGAUUAAUAGGGAUAGUUGGGGGCAUUAGUAUUCAAUUGUCAGAGGUGAAAUUCUUGGAUUUAUUGAAGACUAACUACUGCGAAAGCAUUUGCCAAGGAUAUUUUCAUUAAUCAAGAACGAAAGUUAGGGGAUCGAAGACGAUCAGAUACCGUCGUAGUCUUAACCAUAAACUAUGCCGACUAGGGAUCGGACGAAGUUAAUUUAUAAUGACGCGUUCGGCACCUUACG